UUUAAAGUCUGACCUGCCCAAUGGUAUUUAAAUGGCUGCGGUAAUUUGACCGUGCAAAGGUAGCAUAAUCAUUAGUUUUUUAAUUGAAAGCUGGUAUGAAUGGUUGGACGAGAGAAAGACUGUCUCAAGCUAAAUUUAUUAGAAUUUUAUUUUUAAGUUAAAAAGCUUAGAUAUUAUUAAAAGACGAGAAGACCCUAUAGAGUUUUAUAUUUAUUUAUAUAAUUUGAAUUAUUUAUUUUUAUUAUAUAAAUAAGUAUUUUAUUGGGGCGAUAUUAAAAUUAAAUUAACUUUAUAUGUGUGUAUAACAUUAAUAUAUGAUUUUUUGAUCCAUUAUUUAUGAUUAGAAGAUUAAAUUACCUUAGGGAUAACAGCGUAAUUUUUUUUGAGAGUUCAUAUUGAAAAAAAAGGUUGCGACCUCGAUGUUGGAUUAAAAUUAACUUUUGGUGCAGGAGCUAAAAAGUUAGGUCUGUUCGACCUUUAAAAUUUUACAUGAUCUGAGUUUAAACCGGCGUAAGCCAGGUUGGUUUCUAUCUUUAAUAUAAAAGUAUAUUUUAGUACGAAAGGAUUUUAUAUAUAUAAAAUUUAUUUUAAAUUGAAUAGGAUGA
This 605-nucleotide ribosomal RNA is filed under the name Heterochelus sp. SA2. RNAcentral's name for it is "partial 16S large subunit ribosomal RNA". It matches the Rfam family "Bacterial large subunit ribosomal RNA", at positions 1844 to 2844 of the family's 2925-position model. Lineage: Eukaryota; Metazoa; Arthropoda; Insecta; Coleoptera; Scarabaeidae. The record is from RNAcentral.